AGCUUCCUAAGUCGAUCCCAGGGAGAGCUUUUGGUCUGAGACGGAGCCGUUCUCCAUGCGGGGGGCUCUUGUUUCCAAAGGGUGCUCUGUUUCUGAGGGUUUGGUUGGGGAAAGCAGAGGGGUUGGGGUAAAGGUGGGAUUUUGAGAGGUGGGUUUUGGAUCGGGGAGGGAGGUGGUUGAGAGGGGAGAGGAAGUGAGGGUUUCGAUGAGAGAUUGAGGGAGAUGAGAUGUUUAAUAGCAUGGUUUCGUUAGAAGUGGUGGAUUUUUGGGGGCGAAGUGGUGUUUGAUUGGAGCCAUUGUGUAAGAUAAAUGAGGAAAACAGAGUCGUGGUGUGGUUUGGCUUUUCUGUGGGUGUGUGGAUGUGAUUCAAUUCUACAAAGAGAACAAAUCUCUGUCUCACUAGUUUUUUGAAAUGGUUAUUGUGUAAUGGGCCUUGUUACAAACUGAAUAUUGAUACUUUUGGGCUUUAGGGGCCUAACAUAUUUGGGGAUAUUUGAUUAUGGAACGCAAUUUUAUGUUGCAAUUUGGAUGAACUAUGAAAUUGAUAACUUUUUAACUUAAAAACGAAAACUGAAAAUUGCUUUAACAAUUUGUAUUGCAUCAAAAGGAACAGAGAGAACUUAUUAGGUGUUGUGAAUAGACCUCUUGCUUGGCUUUCUUUCAAGAAGAUAUCAAGUAAGAUUUUGGCUUUCAUGAGUGCAAUGGAUCAAUGGAAGUUGGAAUUGGUUAACAGGAAGGUUAAUACUCAAGUUUCUUUUGUUGCAAAAAGUGUGAUAUCUCAGAAUUUUUCUUAAUUGUAGGUUGUUCUAAGCUUUUGUUUUUGUUAGCUUUCUUCUUCCUUUUUUUAUAAAAGAGCAUUCCUUUUGGUUGCUGAUUUUUGUUGUGGGAUUGAGAUAGCUUAUUUGCUUUCACUAACAUAUUGGUUAACUGGUUUCAUGAUAAAUGAAUAAUCUAAUCCUUCAUAUGUUGAGAUUACUCUAAAGCUUGCUAAACAGAACUUCUAAUGGUGGAAAAACUUUUAUCCUUAAUUAUUCUACAAACUUCCAAUGAGGUGAAAGUGAAACUGUGUUUCUUCCCAUUUACUCUCGUUACUGUGUAAACUAAAUUUUGCCUUAUUUAUUAUUUUUCUCCGUCUUUUUCACUUAAUUUUUAUUCUCAUUUCUACCUUUUAUUUUUUUUUCAUUUUACUCCACAAACUACCAAUCACAAUCUAAGCUUCAGUUCAAUUUUUUAAAAAGAAAAAGAAUUAUGCGUGGAUUCAAGACACACUAUGUAAAAUAAAAUGGAGGAUUAUGAGCAUACUAUAUAAAAAAAAAAUUGUAUUCUACAAUAUAAUCUAAAAUAAACCAAAAUUAUACUUAUCUGAUCAAAAUUAGUUCUUUUAAUUAAUAUAUAUAUAUUUGGAAUAAUCAGAAUAUAAAAUUACAAAAUCAAUUCAAAAAUCUUAUUAAAAAUUAGUUAUGUGUUUACCCAGACAUUUGCGAGAAUAAUUCAAUAAGUUAAUACCAAGACAUAUAAGCUAGCCGAAUCAAUUAAAAAACAAAAGGAGAAUGCUCACCACCGUCUUCGAAGUUAAGCAUUCGUGUGGGAAGUAACCAUACUAUUUAUGGUUAUUUAUGACUUUAUACAAAAAAGAGUCAUAACCACAAAACAGAAGAUUCGUUAUUCACCUUCUAAGAUAAAAAGAUAACUCUCCAGACAUGAACUUACCUUGCAAGCAAAGUAUUCUUAUCUUCAUCUAUUAUUUCUCAUUAAUUAACCUUAUCUUCACCAAGAUUGUUGUUGUAAUAAUGUUUUAGUCUUUAGAAGAUCAGAAGAUUCUUGAAUGAAACUUAAUACAAAUUUACAUAACUCACAACAAUUAUUUGAAGUGUGUUUGGAAGCUUUCUUCUUUCCUUCACGUCUUACUUUCCCAUACAAAGUAUAAAAUAGUUGAAUUUGGAUCCACGCAUUGUUUUCUAGAACUGACAUCAUAUCAUCCAAGCCACAACUUUCAUUAAUGUCUUACAUAGGUUCCGAAUGGUAACGUUUUUGUCCGCAGCACAGUUAAUAAUAAUAAAACUCUCUAAAUAUAUACGUUUUCGUUAUUAUUAGAACCGCAGUUAUUCCGGACGUUACCAUUCGAAGCUAUAGUUGACAAAGAAGACAUUUGAGACAUUCUUAAAAGCUUACAAUUAAAAGUAUAUUAUUCUCACGUCUAAAACUGAGUAGUCAACUAGAAACAGUCAUAAAACGUGGGAUAACAAGAUUUCAAUGUAACAACUAACAAUAGUUCAACAUUUUCUCCAAUGCAGGCCAACCAACCUUGAAACUCCAUAUGAAUCAACAUUUUUUUGCAAACUUAGAUGAAUUGGAUUUGGUUUCUGAAAAAUGGUGAUUCAAUUAUAUACAUGUGAUCAGUCGAAUAUUCGGAGACUAACAAGCUACUACAUUGAUCUAAAUUGGAGAUCUUCACUAAUAUCAACCCCCUAUACUUUCUACAGUUCACACAAAUGACAACCCAAAUCCAUUUACAGUCCCCCCACCUCCAAUAUAUUUUCCUCAUGCGACCCACCAAUCAUUGUUCCUUCACAACUCACCCUCACCGUGAUCCAGCCCCCACCUUCCAUAUCCAAUCUGGACCCAUCCAACCCACCAACACAUCUCAACCGUCCGAUCCUCUCCGAAUGACAAGCCCACAUGUUUGAACGGUCAAGAUUUCUCGGAUCCUCCUGUAAUUCCUCUGUUUCUUCUUCCUCAUCCACCGAUGACCAAAACGUUUGAUCUAUCACACUUGUCGGUGAGCUCGAAACAAAACCGGAAACCGGUUCAGUGUUUGGUUUAGUUAUCAAAAAAGGAUGGUUUAGAAGUUGUGUUGCCGUCCAUCUCUCUUUCGCUUCUCUCUUGAAACACUUCUCCAAGAAGUCCUUCGCUUCUUCGGUAAGCAAACAAGGAAGCUCCGGAGCCUCACCGGAAUACCCGACCCGAUAAAGAACUGAAACCGGACUCUCACCCGAACUCGCCUCCGUCCACGGCGGAGACCCAGUGGCCAUCUCAAUCACCGUACAUCCAACCGCCCAUAUAUCACUCUCCCUCCCCUGCUUCUCCCCACGCGCCACCUCCGGAGCCAUAAACGCCGGCGUUCCCAUCACCGCUUCCGAGUCAACUUCCGGGUCGACCCGUUUCGCACACCCGAAAUCCGCAAUCUUGGCCUCACCCUUCUCCCCAACAACCACGUUGCUCCCCUUCACAUCGCAAUGCGCGACUCCCCGCGAGUGAAUAUACUCCAACCCUCGCAGUAUAUCUCGCGUGUACUUCACGAUCGUAGCUUCCUCGAGCCCGCCUCCGUUCUUCGCCGCCGCGUCGGUCAACGUUCCGUACGGUGCGUACUCCAUCAAAAGGUUAUACGUGACGACGCCGUUUGACUCUCUCUUGGUCUCUGAUCCUCUGUAUCCGAUCACAUAGGGAGAACUCAACGACGAGAGGAUCUUGGCCUCUCUUUUCAGGAACUCUGAUCGGUGAAGCUCGGAGGAUUUGACGGCGAGGAUUUCGUUUGAGUUGUGACGUGUUGCGGCGUAGACGGUGGCUGUUGAGCCACGGCCUAGGAUUCUUCCUCUAGUCCAUUCCAUUUGGACAAGACUAGAGAAAAGUUAAGAGUUAUAAAAAAAAGUUUGUAUUUGUUUUGUAUAGUUUUGCUUUUCUACACUCUGCUGCUAUUCAACACUAGGCUUAUAUAUAAUGGGUGGAUUAGAUAGUGUAUACUUUUGGUAACAUCGAGUUUAUCUACCAACACUUAUUAUUAUGAAUAUAAUAACGUAAAUAUGUUCUUGUGUGUACACGUGAAUUUCUUUUAAAAGUUGAUAACCAAAUGAAAACCUGUUCUGAUUUGAUUUGAUUUGAUUUGAUUUUUAAAGUAACCAAAAUAAGAAGAAAAUGUGUUGAAAUUUGAAUGUGUGAAGUUUCAAGAGCACCAAAAGAAGAGAGGUUUGAGAAACGUGAGUAAAAUAUCAAUUGUCAUGUGACGUGGCAGUGGAACGUAUCUAACGCAAGUUCGUUGGGUAUGGUGACGUGGUAUUUUUUAGAUUACAGUCUCUAGAAACUAUGACGUGUCAAUCUCUGUGUGGUUAAAGAAGCUUUUAGUUUCUGCUCCCACCGUAGUUCCGUAUCUCUCUCCAGCUACGUGUCCGCAAUGUUUAGAAGCUACGUGGUGUUUACUAUUGGCCUAACGUUUAUUUGUUUUCUCUCUUUCGUUAUUUGCGUAAAGAAAGAAUUAGUAUUAUAUUUAUUUAUUUUUUUAACUAAGAAUUAGUAUUAUUUUGAUAUGUGGUUUCUUAUGAGUUUGGGAAGAAAAAAAAACUAGUGGAGAGGAGAAGCUAGGCACUUUGGUAGAUUUUGAUCGAUCAUCUGCACACUUGGAGCUUUGUCGUUACACUUCGUGAUCGUCUUAUAUUUUCAGCAUAUCUAUUUAAUUUCUAUAAAAAAAUAUUUUGUUACAUUAUUGUACAAAUUGUGAGUCUUCUCUUGGUCUAUUACCUUGGUUUCUUAUUUGAUUCUGCUUGUUAAUUUUUUGUUCAUGCCAGAAUAUAAACAAGAUUUCAAUGUGUUAAUUGUUUAAAUAUGUCUUCUUACAAACAGAUGCAACCCAUAUUAUCAUUUCAGGCUCUGUUCUUUCGGAAAUAAUUAUUUGCUAGGUGUGUACUAUAAAUAUUUAUUUUUCUAAACAAAAUCACUGCAAAGAUUUGGGAUAUCACCGGAGACCAAGACUAUAGUGUUAAUCUAUAUAUUUGUUUUCUAUCUUAUAGUCAACUUUUUAUCAUAUAGAUUAUAGACGUUCGUUAAACAAAUAUUCUGACAAUAAUACCAGAUAACAAUAAAAAUAGAUGAAGAAGCUUCCUUAGUAAAAUCGGUAACCCCUUUGAAAGAAAAUAAACGAAAGUGAGCGGUGGGUUUAACUACCAUUAUCGGUUGAGUUUAAGAAAUAAAUAAUCAAUUUUAAUUAUGAUUAGGUCUGUUUUAUGGUUCUAACUUACAACUUACAUUCAAAUUAAAGUCAAGUUCACAUAUAGAACCACGACUAAAUAGGCUAAUAAUGAAUUUCUUUCCUUACUUUUCUUUCGUUAUUUGCACUCCAAAUAGCUAUUUCAUUAUCAGUUUACGAAUAAUUUGCAUUUUAUAAAAAAAAACUCUAGUAGCUUGAAUUAAAGUUUAAUACGUCGUAUCAUACACAUUCUCUCUGAAAUUUGGAACGUCAUAAAGCUAGCAGAGUUUUUUUUUUUUUUUUUUUUAUUUUAUCUGUAAAUGACACUUUGCAAUAUAGUUUGGGUUAAGUUACAAAAAAAACUUAGAUUCUCCCCCUUAACAAGAACGCCAACUAAAUACCGGUAAGCUAAUAACUUUUAAUAAUCCACAUUCCAAUAUUCAUAUACCAAGUUAAGUAGAGUCAUGUGAACAAGUUAAAUCAAGAGUUUCAGUAAGAUUAGGUUGGAUGCUCUUGCUAGGUCGAAAAUUAUACUGAAUUUAUGCAAGAACCUAGGCUUUCAUUUGUUUUGUCAAAAUAAAACCAUGUCAUAGACCACAUUUAAAAGAUAUGGAAUUAGAUUACUUGUCGUUUUUAACUUCUGAUAAAUGAUUUGGGUUUAGGUCCAGUAACCACAAUUUCCACAAAAACAAAAAAAAAUCAAAAAAAAUAUCUAAACGGUUUCAAGAGUGAAGAACAAGUUAAAGCAAGAGUUUCAGUAAGAUUAGGUUGGAUACUCUUGCUAGGUCGAAAAUUAUACUGAAUAUAUGCAAGAACCUAAGCUUUCAUUUGUUUUGUCAAAAUAAAACCAUGCCAUAUACCACAUUUAAAAAUGGAAUUGGAUUAUUCGUCGUUUUUAACUUCUGAUAAAUGAUUUGGGUCUAGAUCCAGUAACCACAAUUCCCACAAAAACAAAAACAAAACAAAAAAAAAAAUCUAUCUAAUCAACUUUGAGAUGGAAACCUAGGGCGCAUAGAAUUCGGAAUCCGAGAUUCGAACCAAAAAAUUUGUUAUGUUAUCUGAUCUGAAAUGUAUAAAUACUAGAAUGAAUUUUAUAAGGUGAUAUUUUAGCUGAACUCGAACGGAUCGGAUAACCCAAAAAAAUCUGAAAUUAUUCAGUCAAUAUAAAUUUUUGAAACAUAUAUAAUAUAUCAAAUACUCAAUUCAAUGUUUAUUUUGAUAUGAUAUAUAAAAACAAGUUUUAAAAUUUAAAUAAAUACUUUAAACACCCAACUGCUUAUAAAUAAAUAUUUCAUAAUUUACUGACUGAAGUAACAAGUUUAUUAUAUCUAUAAGAUAAUGCAUAUUAUUUACAAACGAUGUGUUUUCACGAUUGAUUUUAGUAUUUAUUGUUAUUUACAAAUUUGAUGUGCAUUAGAUUAAUUUUUAUUUAGUUUAAGAAUCUUUUUUCUUAUGUUUUACUUUAAAAAAAUUUUUUUUACUUCAGAUACAUCCGAACCAAGCCAAACAGAUAUAACUCAAAUCCGAACAAUAUAUUAUUACUUUAUAAACUUUAAGAUACAAUAUAAAUUUGAAAUCAAACCAGAAAUGUUAUUGUCUGAAUCCGACACGUACUAAUAAAAUAUUAUAAUGGGACAUAUGAGUGUAAACCCGAAAUAUCCAGUCCAAAACUCUAACACCCAUGCCUAUGCAAACCAAUGGCAACCUUGUGUUGAGAGAGCAUCGCCAUCUACGCAGAGUUAAUAGCCAUGAGUUCAAGACCGACCGUCGUUAUACACCCAAUCACAAAUCAAUUUCCAUAUUCAGUAUCACAGUACUCGAAACACUUUUCUUUUGGCAAAAGAGAUGUAACUACAACAUUUCUUGUAUGAAAUCAAGGCUAAGUGUGUCCUUGACAAUGAGAAACAAUCCAAGGAAUAUCACAAGCAUGAUCCCUGAAGACAUGAUCCCCUGCUCCACCUCUACAGGAAGCUUCCUCCCUCCUCUAACCGCCUCCAACAGUAUCAACGCCAACGUCCCGCCGUCGAGAGCAGGCAGCGGCAAGAGAUUAAUCACGGCCAGGUUGAUAUUCAGCAGCGCCGCGAACUGGUAAAGCCCGUCGGUGUUCGAUCUCGCCACCUCUGCUCCCACCGCAAUGAUCGCCACGGGUCCUGCCACUUUACUCGCUGUCUGAGAGAAGUUAAAGAACGUCUGCUUCAGACCGUCCAAGACAUUGGAAGACAGCCCCAUAAACUCCUUCCCCGCGAACCUAAACGCUUCGGGAACGUUCCUCGGCCUCACCUUAGUGAUUCUAACGUUUGGAGACAGCUGAACACCGAUCUUCCCCGUCCCAUCGAAGUUCUUAUCAGGCCUAACCCGAACAACCAAAUCUUGAUUCCCUCUCUCGAUUCUAAACAACACAUCACUCUCGGGACUUCUCUUAACAAUAUCAACAACCUUAGAGACAGCAUCAGGACCAGUCUUAGAGAACUCAGCACCAUCCACAGAGAGGAUAACGUCACCAGAAAGCAACCCAUCACGGGAAGCAGCAGAAAAGGUCUUAACUUCGGGGACAAGAACACCAGGGAACGCUUCUUGAACAGGCAAACCAACGGACAACACUUGCACAAAGAUUAUAACAUAAGCAAAGAUCACAUUAGCGAUGAUCCCAGCCGAGACAACAAUCGAUCGAUCCAAAACCGGUCUGUUCUUGAGCAAGUUCUCGUCGUCGGUUGCAAUCUCGCUGUCGGGGUCGUUGUCGGGGAAGCCAACGAACCCACCUAGAGGGAACGCCCUAAGGGAAUACUCAACGUUCUUGAAAUCGAACUUAGCGAGGAUCGGACCGAACCCGAUAGCGAACUUACUCACGUGGAUCCCUUGGAGGGUGGCGGCGAGGAAGUGGCCGGACUCGUGGACGACGAUGAUGGCGGUGAGGACGGCGGUGGCUUCUAGGACGGACUCGAAGCUUCCUAAGUCGAUCCCGGGGAGAGCUUGUGGUCUGAGACGGAGCCGGUCCCCAUGCGGGGGGGUCUUGUUUCCGAAGGGUGCUCUGUUUUUGAGGGUUUGGUUGGGGAAAGCAGAGUAAAGGUGGGAUUUUGAGAGGUGGGUUUUGGAUCGGGGAGGGAGGUGGUUGAGAGGGGAGAGGAAGUGAGGGUUUCGAUGAGAGAUUGGGGGAGAUGAGAUGUUUAAUAGCAUGGUUUCGUGAGAAGUGGUGGAGAGUUUUGGGGGUGAAGUGGUGUUUG
Molecule: long non-coding RNA, 8178 nt
Filed under: Brassica napus (rape)
Lineage: Eukaryota; Viridiplantae; Streptophyta; Magnoliopsida; Brassicales; Brassicaceae
Description: long non-coding RNA (BNAP_LNC015353)
Source: RNAcentral